CUACGGGUUGCACCAGUGAGGAAUUUUGCGCAAUGGGGGAGACCCUGACGCAGCAACGCCGCGUGAGUGAAGAAGGCCCUUGGGUCGUAAAGCUCUGUCAAUGGGGAAGAAGUUACUUGGUAUUAAUAGUGCCUUGUAUUGACGGUACCCAUGAAGGAAGCACCGGCUAACUCCGUGCCAGUAGCCGCGGUAAUACGGGGGGUGCAAGCGUUAUUCGGAAUUAUUGGGCGUAAAGGGCACGCAGGCGGUCCUGUCAGUCAGAUGUGAAAGCCCGGGGCUCAACCCCGGACGUGCAUUUGAAACAGCAGGACUUGAGUACGGGAGAGGAAAGGGGAAUUCCUGGUGUAGAGGUGAAAUUCGUAGAUAUCAGGAGGAACACCGGUGGCGAAGGCGCCUUUCUGGACCGAUACUGACGCUGAGGUGCGAAGGCGUGGGUAGCGAACGGGAUUAGAUACCCCAGUAGUC
RNAcentral lists this ribosomal RNA (465 nucleotides) under uncultured bacterium. RNAcentral describes it as "partial 16S ribosomal RNA". It matches the Rfam family "Bacterial small subunit ribosomal RNA", at positions 339 to 795 of the family's 1533-position model. The record is from RNAcentral.